CUCCUUGGUGAGAGGUUUAAAUAAACACAUAGCUUCAUUCUGAAACUUACGAGCUGGGGAUUGUUUGAAACUUCCGUUGCACACCAUUCAGAAGAACAUGUAUGACCUCCAGGAAGACUCAGGCUUGGAACUCUUCUAAGAGGAAAGAGAACCAAGAUGGCAAAGUGGGUCCUCUGCGGUCACGAAGGAUCUGAGGUGUUAAUUAAAGCCCCGGGAGAGAGUGAAGACAAACUGGCCUUGAGCUCACGUUGAAGCCCAGGCUGGUCUCAAACUUGGAACAGUCCUCCUGCCGCAGCCUUGAGAGUCCUGGCAUUACAGAUUGACCAAGUGUCUGAGAAAAUACUGUGGUUGAGUGACAAAUAAUGGGCCAAGCUGGCAGCAACUUCUCAUCCCCAACAUAUUGAAGAGGGAGGAUUUGCGACAGACUCAAAACCCAAAACCAGCUACCCCUAAAAGAUACCUGAGACAAGUAAGCAUUUUUCUAAGGGUUCUAAAUGCUAGCAAUGAAAGAACUCACCAUAGGCAAUUUACAAGAAUCAUGUCAUAAAUUAAACUAAAAAGAAAAGAUAAGGAGAAGAAAAGAUGAGAAGAAACUUAAACAAGGUGCAACCCCAGACAUCCAGUUCACCAAAGGCAAGCCCAGAGGUCAGUGAGACAGAGCAAUCUGAAAGCCUCCACCUGGCCUCUCUGAACUGGUAACAACAAAGCAAUUGAAUGAGGCUCUAGAAAAAAAAAAUGAAGUCAGAAAUAAUUUCUCAAGUAACUACAGAGAUGGUGACCACAAUGAAGAAACACAAACAAAAACAUAUAAGAAGAAAUGUCCAGCAUCACUGGUCAUUCGAGAGAUACAAAUUAAAACAACACUGAGAUUCCAUCUCACCCUGGGAAGAAUGGCUAUCAUCAAAAAAUCAAUCAGUUAACAUGAUGGAGGGAUUAUUAGGAAAAAGAAACACUUCUCCACUGUUGGUGGGACUGUAGACCGUUACAACUACUAUGGAAACCAGUGGGGAAGUUCCCCAAAAAACUAGAAUUGGAGGUUCUAUUUGACCCAGCUUGUCCUCUUCUGGGUAUCUUCCCAGAAUUAAAAACAUCAUAACAUAGUGAUAUAUGUGCACCCAUGCUUACAGCAGCACAAUUUGUGAUAGCUCCGCUCUUGAAAACAACCCAAGCGCUCAUCAACAGAGGAAUAAAUAAAAAGAUGUGAUCUUUUUAUACAAUAGAGUACUAUUUUGCCAUAAAGAAGGAUAAACUGGAGACUUUUAUAGGUAUAUCAAUGCAACCCAAGACCAUGCUCAUAAGUGAUAUAAAUUGGACAGUAUAAACAGAUUGUCUCCCUAGUGUGGGAAGUUGAAAGAGUAAAUAAGAUCCAAAAUGUACAAUAGAUAACAUAAAAUAGGAAGAAACUGUUGAAAAGGAAAGAGAAACUGGAAUGGGUAAAAGGAGAAAAGAAGAAAGGGAAAAGUAAAAAACAAAUACUAUAUAUAUGUAUACACAUACACAAGAUAGUUAAGAUAGUCAUACUACUUACUAAUUUCUCUUAGUUUAUUGAAAGUAAAGGUUUGUGCUAAUAUUGUUUGGACAAUUAAAUGCCUAUAUCUUGUACUCUAACUGAAGAUAACAAUAUACAAUGUAUUAGCCAUUGUUUUUAUAUUAUCUUGUUUUGAAAUUUUGGGGUUUUGUUCUCUUUAAAAUAAAUUUUAAAAAAGAGCAGUUAUAUUCAUUGUUUUCACAGUGUAAUGAAGGAGAUUUUACAGAAGGUGUUUUUAAAAAUAUUCAGGUCAUAGGACACUUGAUGACUGAUUAUGAAAGUCUUGGAAUCUCAUUGGAACUUGUUAGCAAUUACAUAAAAAGCACUAUAAACAAGUUUUUCAUUCCUCUGUACUUCAUCCAUUACCACUUUUUUGCACUAAACUACAGUGUAAAUUUCCACUGCUCUGAAAAAAGCUGGAUCAGUCUCUUGAAGUUCCUGUCAGCUUUACAUACCUACAUUUUUCUAAAUAACAACAGAAUAAAACAUCUAAUGUGAAGAAUAUGUCAUGAGUAUAAUAAAACUGUGUCUUGUAGAGAGUAAUAUAUGCCUUGAAAAGAAAGGUUUGUGCUAAUAACUGUUUGGACAAUUAAAUGCCUAUAUCUUGUACUCUAAAGACAACAAUACACAAUGUAUUAGCCAUUGUUAUUAUAUUAUCUUGUUCAUAUAUGUAGGCUAAAACUGUACAUUUUUCUUUCAUAGUAACUGUCCUCUUUCAUAUGUGUCCAUGAUUUAUGUUUGUUAUCAAUUUCAAAAACUAUUUUCAAUGAAAAUAGUUUUUAAUUGUAAUAGUUUUUAAUUUUAUAAAAAUAUAGGCAAUUAAAUGCAGAUGCCUUAUACUCUGAGUCACUAAUUUAAAGAUAACAAUAUGCAAUGUAUUAAUCAUUGUUAUCAUCUAAUUAUCAUGCUUUGAAAUUUUGUUUUUUCUCUUUAUAAUAAUAUAAAAUAAUUUUUUUAAAUGUAUACAUAAACAUUAUCUUUCUGAGGUUGUAUAUUCACCAUGUUCAAUUGUUUUUCUUUGUGCUCAAAAACCACAGGUAAAUUCAUAGACUCCAUUCUGGAAGUCUUGACAAUGAAUUUGCUUGAGACAAAUUCAGUUUAUUUACCUCCAACUAACCACAGAUUCUUGGUGGAAUUUCCAGAUUGAUUUUCUGUCUUUUCAUUGACCAACCAGUCAUUACAAAUUGUGACUACAAGCAUGAGUUUGCAGCAUAAUAUAUUAGUGUGGAAAUUAUAAUAACUCUCUCGAAAUGGAUUUGAAGGAGAAAAAAAGCUUUAGGUUUAAUUCAUGGCAUACAUCCGCUUUCCAUGUUCCUACAGUCUCCUCUAAAACCAUAUGCCAUAGUAAAAGAAAAAUUCUUGUUGGUUAAGACACCUAAAGAUUUUGCCAUUAGAGGUUAUCAGAAUCAGAGAUAAAAUUUCAAUUAAUUGUCUAUGCAAAAACCCUAUUGCUCAGUGUCAUGUUUUAUGUCGGUGGCCCCCAGGCCUCAUAAGUUUGCAUUGUGCAUUUGUGAUGGUUCAUUGUCUAGUGCUUGGAUUGAUGGUGUCAGUGCUCCACCCCCAAAGGGGUGGGGCCAGGAUGUAAUGUAAUGGCAGGAAGAAGGUGUGUCUUGCUCUUUGCUGGUUCCUGCUUGCUGUUUGCAGCCGCCAUGAGCUGCGGCCCAGCCAUGCCUGCCUGCCUGGAAGCCAACUGAGUUUGGACUGAAACCUCCAAAAACUGUAAGAAAUAAAUCUUUCCUUUCCCAA
Cavia porcellus (domestic guinea pig) is the source of this 3274-nucleotide long non-coding RNA. RefSeq lists it as uncharacterized. The record is from RefSeq and is a predicted model, not a curated record. Lineage: Eukaryota; Metazoa; Chordata; Mammalia; Rodentia; Caviidae. The transcript has 3 exons.